This 72-nucleotide microRNA precursor is filed under the name Pelobates cultripes (western spadefoot toad). The record is from RNAcentral. Lineage: Eukaryota; Metazoa; Chordata; Amphibia; Anura; Pelobatidae.
UACAGGAAUGCUCCAACCACCAUAACCACUACAGUGUGCUGUAGUGGUUAUGGUGCCAGGAGUGCACCAUAA